CGGACGGGUGAGUAAUGUAUGGGGAUCUGCCUGAUGGGCGGGGGAUAACUACUGGAAACGGUAGCUAAUACCGCAUAAUGUCUACGGACCAAAGCGGGGGGACCUCCGGGCCUCGCGCCAUCAGAUGAACCCAUAUGGGAUUAGCUUGUAGGUAAGGUAACGGCUUACCUAGGCGACGAUCCCUAGCUGGUCUGAGAGGAUGAUCAGCCACACUGGGACUGAGACACGGCCCAG
Molecule: ribosomal RNA, 234 nt
Filed under: uncultured bacterium
Lineage: Bacteria
Description: partial 16S ribosomal RNA
Rfam family: Bacterial small subunit ribosomal RNA
Source: RNAcentral